CUUGCAGCCAGCAGGAAGGCUGAGACAGGAGACAGCAAAUCAAGGCCAGGCUGGGUGGGCUUCAUAGUGCGUUCCAGGCAAGCCUCGGAAGCAUAAUUAGACCCUGUCUCAAUCAGUAAAUGGUUAUGAGCCACCAUGUCGUUGCUGGGAAUUUGAACUCAGGACCUUUGGAAGAACCUCUGAGCCAUCUCUCCAGCCCCAAUGGAACACACCUUUAACCCCAGUUUUCAGAAGGAUCUCUGUGAGCUCAAAGCCUGCCUGGUCUAAGAUACUGGAAGUACUGGCUCACAUCUAUAACUCCAGGACUUGGGAAAGCCGAGGCAGGAAGAUUGCCAAGAACUGUAGGCCAGCCUGGACUGUGUGAUGAGUUCCAAGCCAACCGGAUCUUUGAGUGAGACGCUGUCUAUAGAGAAAAGGCAAUGGAGGGAAAACAAACAUCGCAGGCGUGCGUUGAGAGUCCAUCAAGUGAAGUGACACUUUGUCUGACCUUCCCAACCUCUGGAGGAAGAAGAUUAAUGUCCCCAUUGUGCUCACCGAGUGACCUACCCCAGGAGGGACCACACUGGCCAUCGAGGGAGCUCCCACGAAAGAGAGGCCAUGGUCAUUACUUGAUCAGCUGCUCCUGUCAUGCAUCUGUUUCCCUCGGACACCCCAGCCCGUUCCCUGUUGAUGUCUUCUAGUGGAAGUACGGCAGAAAACAGCAUGUCUCUUUCUUGGUGGUACUUAACCUGUGUGCCUGCAGCUUCCACACUUUCCGAUGGACAUGGAGGACUAAAAAUGCGUAUCGGCCAUCAGUGUGGACGGUAACUCUCUCGUUUUGACUUAAUCCCAGAGUUCUGGUGAUGGCUAUCAGGUCAGCCAACUGAGCCUAAUCCCAGGAGGGAAGGCUUCACCAUCGAAGGUGUCUGUAAGUUACUGUAAGUUACCUGGCGCAGGGGACCCCUUGCUCAAUUAAGGGUCUGCCAAGAAGGCCAGGGAGUUUCUUUAAGACCUCCCUUAUAGCCGGGCAUGGUGGCACAUGCCUGUGAUUCCAACAUAGUGUGAGCCGGAAGGCAGAGGCAGGCGGAUCUCUGUGAGUUCAAGGCCAGCCUGGUCUACAAAGUGAGUCCAGAACAAGCCAAGGCUAUACACACACACACACACACACACACACACACACACACACACACAAAAUAACCCUGUCUCAAAAAACAAACAAAACAAAGAAAGAAAAGAAAAAAAGACUUUAGUGUGUGUGUCUGUGUGUGUACAUGCUUAACCCAUGUGGAGGUCAGAGGACAACUUAGAGGAGUUGCUUCUCUCCUGAGCCGUGUGGUUUCUUGGGAUCAAAUUCAGAUACUAAGGUGUGACUACAAGCCCCUUUACCUGCUGAGCCAUCUUGUUAGUCCUUGUUUGAGACUUGUUUGUUUUCUCUUUAGAUAUUGAUUGAUUGAUUGAUUGAUUGAUUGAGAUAGGGUUUCUCUGUGUAGCCCUGGCUGUCCUGGGACUCACUCUGUAGACCAGGCUAACUUCAAACUCAGAGAGAUCCACCUGCCUUUGCCUCUCCAAGUGCUGAGAUUAAAGGCGUGGGCCGCUCCACUCCCCCCCACACCCGUGCUCUUUCUUCCUUUCAUUCUUUUUGAUAGACUUCUUUGUUUUUAUUUUACGGGUAUGACAGUCUUGCCUGCAUGUACGCAUGUACCCAACAUGCUGUGGAUGCCUGGUGCUCAUGGAGGUCAGAAUAGUUGUGAGCCACCAUGUGGGUGCUGGGCACUGACCCCAGGUCCUCUGCAAGAGCAACCAGUGCUCUUUAACGGCUGAUCCAUCUUUCCAGCCCCAUGUUUGGAAUGUUCUCAUCUUCCUCUUCCUCUGAGAGGGAUGUAACAGGGUUAAGGAGGGAACAGAUUUUUAUUUGGACAGCUGAGCUGUCCAAGGGUAGAGCCUGGUGUCCCAGGAGCCUGUUAUGAGCUAGCCAGAGCCUCCCUUUGGAUUUUAACAGUUCUUCCAAGUGAUGUGGAAGGUCAAUUUAGCUGCCUCUGGAAUUAACAGAGCAGCUUCAGCUGUAAUGCCAGCUUUAUCUGUGGGAUCUAAAUCUCAGCUAAGGUGGGCUGUUGAGUGAACCCCGAAAGCCUUUCUUUUUUUUUUCAGUUACAUAGAAAUUCAAGUUGGGAGUCUCAAAGCUGAGGCUCCAAGGAAUACCUAUUUAGGAAGGCUUAUGUCCCUCUGGCUUGCUGCUGAAGGCUUGUGUUUUUCUUGCCUGGAUUUCUUUUAUUGGCUAGUUUCUUUUAUAGCCAGGCAAAUAACCCACAUACUGGAAUGCAAAGUCUUCAGGAUGUUGUAAUCCUCUCCCCAAGGAGGUCUCCCCCCCUUUUUCUUUUGGUAAUGGGAAGGAAGAGUUAGAGCACACCCAGUCCUCACCAAAUCCCCUUUCCCUUUAGCUGUGUCUAAUGCUAAGUAUUUAAUUGAUAGCUGUCACAACUGAACUUUAUUUUGGAUGCCUUAUAACCCCUGUCAGAUGAGAAGUAACUCAGUUCCUUCCUGGGAAUCUUCUGUGGGGCCACUAAGGAUCAUUCACCUAUUGGAGGACCUUGGCUUGAGGGCCUAAGAAGCCAGGAGAGUUUCUAGAUAGCAGCAUCUAGCCAAGGUGGGAACUAUGCUUGAAUCCCAGGACCAGGGUCAUCCAGGGGAGCUGGGUAAACAGGAGGUUGUAUCUCCAUGACAGACAAGCACUGGGACUCAGGGUGUAAGGGUUUACAGAAAGGGGCAUCCUUUAAGUCUAGGGCAGUAGGGUCUUUGGGGUCUGUGUCAGGAGAAUGUGUGUGUUAGGGAUCGAGGGGUGAAGUGAAAUUUCACCUUUAUUAAUAAGUCUGAAGUCUUGGAUUAGUCUCCACUCUGUGUUAGGUUCUAAGACUUCACGAGUAGGAUUGCCACAGAGGAUCACUAACCUGCUGUUUCAGAUUGGCGGUGAUGUUUGGUAAAGCCCUGUUGAACCUCACGUUUAAAGGAUUCUGUCAUGGGUAGGGAAAUAAGAACUGUUUGCAGAAGCAGGCAGAUCUCUAUGAGUUCAAGGCCAGCCUGGUGUACAUAGUAAGUUCCAGGACAAUCAGAGUUAUGUAGUGAAAAUGUACAUAUAGUUUUUCCUGUCCCAAGAAAACAAACAAACAAACAAAACAACAUCAAAGAAAUAGCCAGGUGUUGUAGUGCAGGCCUUUGAUCUCAGCCCUCAGCAGGUAGAGGCAAGGACAUCUCUGAGUUUCAGGCCAGCCUGGUCUACAGAGUGAGUUCCAGGGUAGUCAGGGCUACACAGAGAAACCCUGUGUCAAAAAAUGAACCAACCAGGCAACUGAAGAAAGGAAACUGGAUGAGAAAUGUCCCUCAUAGGCUCCUGUAUUCUGAACACUUGAUCUCCAAUUAGUGGCACUGUUUGGGAAGGUUUCCCGACCUUUAGAAGGUGGAGCCUUGCUUGAGGAAGUAAGUCACUGAGGGCGGGUAGUGUCGCGUGCAAUCCUUCGCCGAUAAGGAAGACGCGGCAACCGAAGAUUUGUCCAGCAGAAUCUUUAUUGUAGAGCUCUUGUAGGUAGAUGGAGAAGGACCCCAAACCCCAAGCGCGCUCUGCUUAAAUAGCCUGCAGGGCGGCGUGCUCGUCUGUGAUUGGUGCUCCGCACAAUACCCAAUUAGCAUGUGUUCUCUGAUAGGGAGAGCACUCAAAUCCGUAUUAGCAUCAUGUGGCGCAUGCGCCGCUGUAAGGCGAGUUCUAGCAAGAAGAACCAGGAAGCAGGAAGCCAGCGCCAUCUCGUAAUGGCGAAUGCGGCUCCCGACAGGGUAGGAGGGUUUACAGCCUCAUUCCACUUCCUGUUCAAGCUCUCUGCUUCCUCCGUGUGGAUGAAAAGCCUGAUCAGCCAGAUUCCUGCUCCUGUCCCAUGCUUUCCCAAACUGUUGCCAUGCCAUCCCCACCAUGAUGGGCAUUAUCUCGUCGGAAACCUAUGCAGAAAUGAGCUCCUACCUCCUCUAAGUUGCUUUUGGUGGUGAAAAAGGAACUGACAGUCUUUUGGAUGGGUUUUUAGUAGGCAAGGCUGGCCCCACCCUUCCAGUCUACCCCUGGAUACCCCACACUCUCAGACCAAUUUUAGUCUCCAUUAAAUUGAGAGUGAGGUCCUGUCUCCGGGCUGUAAGAAUGGUGAUUCCCCAGGACGGACAUGACUCGUCUAGAAGAGGAGCAGGGCUCUCUGGUACUCUUGGGAAGGCACGUGACAAAAGGACACCUUCCCAGUUGUGAUUGAGGAGGCAAAAUAAAAGCCAAGGGCUUUCCAGUGCCACUCAUCACGAUGGCACUGCUGGGGGAAGGAGGGCCAGGAUGAGAGGGAUGACUGAUGGACAGUUCUACCUAGCAAAUGCUUGUCUCAGCCCUCCACUGUCCCCUUACCCUGGAUUUACAUAAGGAAAUUUGGUGUUGGGUGGAGGUAUCAUAGGUUAAACCUUGGGCCCCUUCAGUCUCGUUCUUGCUGGACCAGGAUAGGCAUGCAUUCUGUCCCCAUGAGCCUUAACCUCUGGAGACAGCCUCCUCUUCAGUGGUUCUGUAGACACAAUUAGGAUAAGGUCCAGGUAGAAACCCUGACCUUCCCUCUGGGCUCUCCCCUUUGAGAUUUCAUUUCCUUCAACACUCAUAGCACGAAUACACAACCACAGAACAAAAAGAAAUAAAUCCUUUUUGUUGUUGUCGUUUGCUGUUCAAGACAGGGUUUCUCUGUGUGGCCCUGGCUUUCCUGGAACUUGCUCUGUAGACUAGGCUGGCCUUGAACUCGGAGACCCUCCUGCCUCUGCCUCCCAAGCACUGGGAACGAAGGUGUGUGCCACCACCACCAGGCCUGUCUUAAAUAAAUCUUAAAACACAAUAAAAACAAA
This is a long non-coding RNA of Meriones unguiculatus (Mongolian gerbil), 4881 nucleotides long. RefSeq lists it as uncharacterized. The transcript has 5 exons. Lineage: Eukaryota; Metazoa; Chordata; Mammalia; Rodentia; Muridae. The record is from RefSeq and is a predicted model, not a curated record.